RNAcentral lists this ribosomal RNA (253 nucleotides) under uncultured bacterium. Its description in RNAcentral is "partial 16S ribosomal RNA". It matches the Rfam family "Bacterial small subunit ribosomal RNA", at positions 524 to 776 of the family's 1533-position model. The record is from RNAcentral.
UACGAAGGGGGCUAGCGUUGCUCGGAAUCACUGGGCGUAAAGCGCACGUAGGCGGAUUGUUAAGUCAGGGGUGAAAUCCUGGAGCUCAACUCCAGAACUGCCUUUGAUACUGGCGAUCUUGAGUCCGGGAGAGGUGAGUGGAACUGCGAGUGUAGAGGUGAAAUUCGUAGAUAUUCGCAAGAACACCAGUGGCGAAGGCGGCUCACUGGCCCGAUACUGACGCUGAGGCACGAAAGCGUGGGGAGCAAACAGG